Pipistrellus kuhlii (Kuhl's pipistrelle) is the source of this 741-nucleotide long non-coding RNA. RefSeq lists it as uncharacterized. The transcript is spliced from 3 exons. NCBI's taxonomy places the organism in Eukaryota, Metazoa, Chordata, Mammalia, Chiroptera, Vespertilionidae. The record is from RefSeq and is a predicted model, not a curated record.
GCUCUGUACCAUGUUUUCUUCCUUCCUUCCAGCAAUGCCAGCUGAGUUCUUGGGUUCAGUCAGUGAACAGGCCUGUGCACAUACCCUGUGUGAAAACAAAUCUAUAUCUGGUAAUUAUGUUUAUGCUAAUUUGACAAAUACUGGAUUUUUAAACAUAAACUCUUGACCAGCAAAGGGUUUUGACCAGCAAAGGGUUUUGAAGAUGUAAGGAAGAUUCAACAAAUAGUUACAGAGCUUUAACUAGAUGCACACCUUUGUUUGGGUCCUGGAGAUACAGCUUUGCAGCGAGGCACUUGCAUAAAGAAGUGGACUCAUGAGCAAAGAAAGGGAGAAUGGAUCAACCUGUUUUCCUUGCAGGAUGCACUUGUUAUCCUUGAUGCUUUCACCCUGAGGACAUCCAACUAAACAAAACUGCAUACAUCUUUAUGGAUUACCCUUUCUGCAUCCUUCCCAUGGAGCCCUCAAACAAAACCUGAACUCAACAUUAUUCACCCAAAUUCAACCUUUUCUCCAUUUCCCAUCUCAGCACAAAACCACCAUUCAACCAGCUGUGUUACCCAACCACCACAGCCAACCACCAACCUUGUCAAUAUCUCUUGAAUUCAUCCGGGUCACUCUACCUCUGCUCUCAUGGCCAGAGCCAUAUAUGAUUUCAGUGGGCCUUAGGCACUUUUGCCUUCAUGGCAAAAUAUUUGAAAUUAUGAUUUAUGACUUUGUUGGUAUAAAGACAAAUGUAAUCCU